RNAcentral lists this ribosomal RNA (828 nucleotides) under Anisakis simplex sensu lato. RNAcentral's name for it is "SSU rRNA". It matches the Rfam family "Eukaryotic small subunit ribosomal RNA", at positions 173 to 1008 of the family's 1831-position model. Lineage: Eukaryota; Metazoa; Nematoda; Chromadorea; Rhabditida; Anisakidae. The record is from RNAcentral.
CACCAAAGCUCCGAUUUUUUGACGAGCGCAUCUAUUAGAUUAAAACCAAUCGGGUUUCGGCCCGUCAAUUGGUGACUCUGAAUAACUAUGGCUGAUCGCAUGGUCUUGAACCGGCGACGUGUCUAUCAAGUGUCUGCCUUAUCAACUGUCGAUGGUAGUUUAUGUGCCUACCAUGGUUGUAACGGGUAACGGAGAAUAAGGGUUCGACUCCGGAGAGGGAGCCUGAGAAACGGCUACCACAUCCAAGGAAGGCAGCAGGCGCGCAAAUUACCCACUCUCGGCAUGAGGAGGUAGUGACGAAAAAUAACGAGACCGUUCUCUCUGAGGCCGGUUAUCGGAAUGGGUACAAUUUAAACCCGUUAACGAGGAUCUAUGAGAGGGCAAGUCUGGUGCCAGCAGCCGCGGUAAUUCCAGCUCUCAAAGUGUAUAUCGUCAUUGCUGCGGUUAAAAAGCUCGUAGUUGGAUCUGCGCCUCAGGACUUGGUCCGCCCACUGGGCGAGAACUGGGCUCCUGGGCUAGUACUGCUGGUUUUCCCUACGUUGCCUUCAUCGGUCGCGUAGGGUGGCUAGCGAGUUUACUUUGAAAAAAUUAGAGUGCUUCACGCGGGCUUAUGUCUGAAUACUCGUGCAUGGAAUAAUAGAAUAGGAUCUCGGUUCUAUUUUGUUGGUUUUCUGAUCUGAGAUAAUGGUUAAGAGGGACGGACGGGGGCAUUCGUAUCGCUGCGUGAGAGGUGAAAUUCUUGGACCGUAGCGAGACGUCCGACUGCGAAAGCAUUUGCCAAGAAUGUCUUCAUUAAUCAAGAACGAAAGUCAGAGGUUCGAAGGCGAU